AAAAUGCGAUAAGUAGCGUGAAUUGCAGACGCUUUGAACGUUAAACUUUCGAACGCACAUUGCGCCAUAGGAGUCUUACCCUAUGGCACAUCUGGUUGAGGGUCGUGAUCAAAGAAACAGCUAGUCUUAGGCUGUAGUAAUUGGCUAAUUGGCGAUUCAUCAGACCGGCAUCUGUCCAAUUGUCGGUGGUGUUCCGUCAUAAUGCUCGUAGAGGGUACCCACUAUGCCGGACUUGCGCAUAACUGGGGGUACUUCCUUGCCACACGGACGGCCAGGCAUUUCGACUGCCAUAUGGGCCGGCCGCCAGGUAUCAUACUUACAUAUACUCUAGGGCGUCUGGGAUACAGCUAGUAUGCCCCAUACGUGCUUGGUUUUGAGAGUUUUCGCUCUCCCGACCUCA
RNAcentral lists this unclassified non-coding RNA (400 nucleotides) under uncultured fungus. RNAcentral describes it as "sequence contains ITS1". The stretch from base 1 to 105 matches the Rfam family "5.8S ribosomal RNA", at positions 50 to 154 of the family's 154-position model. Lineage: Eukaryota; Fungi. The record is from RNAcentral.